This 391-nucleotide unclassified non-coding RNA is filed under the name soil metagenome. Its description in RNAcentral is "partial contains 5.8S ribosomal RNA, internal transcribed spacer 2, and large subunit ribosomal RNA". The stretch from base 1 to 122 matches the Rfam family "5.8S ribosomal RNA", at positions 35 to 154 of the family's 154-position model. The record is from RNAcentral.
GAUGAAGAACGUAGCGAAAUGCGAUACUUGGUGUGAAUUGCAGAAUCCCGUGAACCAUCGAGUCUUUGAACGCAAGUUGCGCCCGAAGCCACUAGGCCGAGGGCACGCCUGCCUGGGCGUCACACGCCGUUGCCCCCCCAUCUACUCCUUCGGGAUUGCGGGGGGGCGGAUGAUGGCCUCCCGUGCGCCUAGCCUCGCGGUUGGCAUAAAUACCAAGUCCUCGGCGACGCACGCCACGACAAUCGGUGGUUGCGAAACCUCGGUUGCCCGUCGUGUGCGUUCGUCGCGCAUCGAGGGCUCGAAAAAAUGCUCGGCUCCGGCUGGGCUUUCAACGCGACCCCAGGUCAGGCGGGGUUACCCGCUGAAUUUAAGCAUAUCAAUAAGCGGAGGA